CCUACGGGUGGCAGCAGUCGAGAAUCAUUCACAAUGGGGGAAACCCUGAUGGUGCGACGCCGCGUGGGGGAAUGAAGGUCUUCGGAUUGUAAACCCCUGUCAUGUGGGAGCAAAUUAAAAAGAUAGUACCACAAGAGGAAGAGACGGCUAACUCUGUGCCAGCAGCCGCGGGAUACAGAGGUCUCAAGCGUUGUUCGGAAUCACUGGGCGUAAGGCGUGCGUAGGCUGUUUCGUAAGUCGUGUGUGAAAGGCGCGGGCUCAACCCGCGGACGUAACAUGAUACUGCGAGACUAGAGUAAUGGAGGGGGAACCGGAAUUCUCGGUGUAGCAGUGAAAUGCGUAGAUAUCGAGAGGAACACUCGUGGCGAAGGCGGGUUCCUGGACAUUAACUGACGCUGAGGCACGAAGGCCAGGGGAGCGAAAGGGAUUAGAUACCCCUGUAGUC
Molecule: ribosomal RNA, 445 nt
Filed under: uncultured bacterium
Lineage: Bacteria
Description: partial 16S ribosomal RNA
Rfam family: Bacterial small subunit ribosomal RNA
Source: RNAcentral